UACGUAGGGGGCGAGCGUUACCCGGAUUUACUGGGCGUAAAGCGCGUGUAGGCGGCUGGCCAAGCGUGGUGUGAAAUCUUCGGGCUUAACCCGAAAACUGCAUUGCGAACUGGUCUGGCUAGAGUGUGUGAGAGGGUAGUGGAAUUCCCGGUGUAGCGGUGAAAUGCGUAGAUAUCAGGAGGAACACCGGUGGCGAAGGCGGCUUGCUGGGCCUUACCUGACGCUGAGGAGCGAAAGCGUGGGGAGCGAACAGG
RNAcentral lists this ribosomal RNA (254 nucleotides) under uncultured bacterium. RNAcentral describes it as "partial 16S ribosomal RNA". It matches the Rfam family "Bacterial small subunit ribosomal RNA", at positions 524 to 776 of the family's 1533-position model. The record is from RNAcentral.